RNAcentral lists this ribosomal RNA (357 nucleotides) under uncultured bacterium. RNAcentral's name for it is "bacterial SSU rRNA". It matches the Rfam family "Bacterial small subunit ribosomal RNA", at positions 1 to 334 of the family's 1533-position model. The record is from RNAcentral.
AUAGUAGUGUCAGAGUUUGAUCCUGGCUCAGGACGAACGCUGGCGGCGUGCAUAACACAUGCAAGUCGAACGAUGAAGAAGAGAAUGGAGACUUCGGUCAAAGUUCGCUUCGGAUUAGUGGCAGACGGGUGAGUAACGCGUGAGCAACCUACCUCUUACAAAGGGAUAGCCAUGGGAAACCGUGAUUAAUACCAUAUGAUACAAUAACAAGGCAUCUUGAGAUUGUUAAAGCUCCGGCGGUAAGAGAUGGGCUCGCGUCCCAUUAGCUAGUUGGUGAGGGUAACGGCCCACCAAGGCGACGAUGGGUAACCGGCCUGAGAGGGUGAACGGUCACAUUGGAACUGAGACACGGUCCAA